GAUGAAGAACGUAGCGAAAUGCGAUAAGUAAUGUGAAUUGCAGAAUUCAGUGAAUCAUCGAAUCUUUGAACGCACAUUGCGCCCCCUGGUAUUCCGGGGGGCACACCUGUCCGAGCGCCAUUUCAACCCUCGAACCCCUCCGGGGGGUCGGCGUUGGGGACCUCGGGAGCCCCUAAGACGGGAUCCCGGCCCCGAAAUACAGUGGCGGUCUCGCCGCAGCCUCUCCUGCGCAGUAGUUUGCACAACUCGCACCGGGAGCGCGGCGCGUCCACGUCCGUAAAACACCCAACUUCUGAAAUGUUGACCUCGGAUCAGGUAGGAAUACCCGCUGAACUUAAGCAUAUCAAUAAGCGGAGGA
This 358-nucleotide unclassified non-coding RNA is filed under the name soil metagenome. RNAcentral's name for it is "partial contains 5.8S ribosomal RNA, internal transcribed spacer 2, and large subunit ribosomal RNA". The stretch from base 1 to 120 matches the Rfam family "5.8S ribosomal RNA", at positions 35 to 154 of the family's 154-position model. The record is from RNAcentral.